Molecule: ribosomal RNA, 2184 nt
Filed under: Salmonella enterica subsp. enterica serovar Enteritidis
Lineage: Bacteria; Pseudomonadati; Pseudomonadota; Gammaproteobacteria; Enterobacterales; Enterobacteriaceae
Description: partial 23S ribosomal RNA
Rfam family: Bacterial large subunit ribosomal RNA
Source: RNAcentral
UCUGUAGCAAGGUUAACCGAAUAGGGGAGCCGGAGGGAAACCGAGUCUUAAUUGGGCGUUAAGUUGCAGGGUAUAGACCCGAAACCCGGUGAUCUAGCCAUGGGCAGGUUGAAGGUUGGGUAACACUAACUGGAGGACCGAACCGACUAAUGUUGAAAAAUUAGCGGAUGACCUGUGGCUGGGGGUGAAAGGCCAAUCAAACCGGGAGAUAGCUGGUUCUCCCCGAAAGCUAUUUAGGUAGCGCCUCGUGAAUUCAUCUCCGGGGGUAGAGCACUGUUUCGGCUAGGGGGCCAUCCCGGCUUACCAACCCGAUGCAAACUGCGAAUACCGGAGAAUGUUAUCACGGGAGACACACGGCGGGUGCUAACGUCCGUCGUGAAGAGGGAAACAACCCAGACCGCCAGCUAAGGUCCCAAAGUCAUGGUUAAGUGGGAAACGAUGUGGGAAGGCCCAGACAGCCAGGAUGUUGGCUUAGAAGCAGCCAUCAUUUAAAGAAAGCGUAAUAGCUCACUGGUCGAGUCGGCCUGCGCGGAAGAUGUAACGGGGCUAAACCAUGCACCGAAGCUGCGGCAGCGACACUGUGUGUUGUUGGGUAGGGGAGCGUUCUGUAAGCCUGUGAAGGUGUGUCGUGAGGCAUGCUGGAGGUAUCAGAAGUGCGAAUGCUGACAUAAGUAACGAUAAAGCGGGUGAAAAGCCCGCUCGCCGGAAGACCAAGGGUUCCUGUCCAACGUUAAUCGGGGCAGGGUGAGUCGACCCCUAAGGCGAGGCCGAAAGGCGUAGUCGAUGGGAAACGGGUUAAUAUUCCCGUACUUGGUGUUACUGCGAAGGGGGGACGGAGAAGGCUAUGUUGGCCGGGCGACGGUUGUCCCGGUUUAAGCGUGUAGGUGUGUGUUCCAGGUAAAUCCGGUUCACUUUAACACUGAGGCGUGACGACGAGGCACUACGGUGCUGAAGCAACAAAUGCCCUGCUUCCAGGAAAAGCCUCUAAGCAUCAGGUAACAUCAAAUCGUACCCCAAACCGACACAGGUGGUCAGGUAGAGAAUACCAAGGCGCUUGAGAGAACUCGGGUGAAGGAACUAGGCAAAAUGGUGCCGUAACUUCGGGAGAAGGCACGCUGACACGUAGGUGAAGUGAUUUACUCAUGGAGCUGAAGUCAGUCGAAGAUACCAGCUGGCUGCAACUGUUUAUUAAAAACACAGCACUGUGCAAACACGAAAGUGGACGUAUACGGUGUGACGCCUGCCCGGUGCCGGAAGGUUAAUUGAUGGGGUCAGCGCAAGCGAAGCUCCUGAUCGAAGCCCCGGUAAACGGCGGCCGUAACUAUAACGGUCCUAAGGUAGCGAAAUUCCUUGUCGGGUAAGUUCCGACCUGCACGAAUGGCGUAAUGAUGGCCAGGCUGUCUCCACCCGAGACUCAGUGAAAUUGAACUCGCUGUGAAGAUGCAGUGUACCCGCGGCAAGACGGAAAGACCCCGUGAACCUUUACUAUAGCUUGACACUGAACAUUGAGCCUUGAUGUGUAGGAUAGGUGGGAGGCUUUGAAGUGUGGACGCCAGUCUGCAUGGAGCCGACCUUGAAAUACCACCCUUUAAUGUUUGAUGUUCUAACGUGGACCCGUUACCCGGGUUGCGGACAGUGUCUGGUGGGUAGUUUGACUGGGGCGGUCUCCUCCUAAAGAGUAACGGAGGAGCACGAAGGUUGGCUAAUCCUGGUCGGACAUCAGGAGGUUAGUGCAAUGGCAUAAGCCAGCUUGACUGCGAGCGUGACGGCGCGAGCAGGUGCGAAAGCAGGUCAUAGUGAUCCGGUGGUUCUGAAUGGAAGGGCCAUCGCUCAACGGAUAAAAGGUACUCCGGGGAUAACAGGCUGAUACCGCCCAAGAGUUCAUAUCGACGGCGGUGUUUGGCACCUCGAUGUCGGCUCAUCACAUCCUGGGGCUGAAGUAGGUCCCAAGGGUAUGGCUGUUCGCCAUUUAAAGUGGUACGCGAGCUGGGUUUAGAACGUCGUGAGACAGUUCGGUCCCUAUCUGCCGUGGGCGCUGGAGAACUGAGGGGGGCUGCUCCUAGUACGAGAGGACCGGAGUGGACGCAUCACUGGUGUUCGGGUUGUCAUGCCAAUGGCACUGCCCGGUAGCUAAAUGCGGAAGAGAUAAGUGCUGAAAGCAUCUAAGCACGAAACUUGCCCCGA